Molecule: ribosomal RNA, 207 nt
Filed under: uncultured bacterium
Lineage: Bacteria
Description: partial 16S ribosomal RNA
Rfam family: Bacterial small subunit ribosomal RNA
Source: RNAcentral
CGUGUAGGCGGCCGAUCAAGUCGGAUGUGAAAUCCCUCGGCUCAACCGAGGAACUGCACUCGAUACUGGUCAGCUAGAGUGCGGGAGGGGUGAGUGGAACUCCAGGUGUAGCGGUGAAAUGCGUAGAUAUCUGGAGGAACGCCGGUGGCGAAAGCGACUCACUGGCCCGCAACUGACGCUGAGGCGCGAAAGCUAGGGGAGCGAACG